GGAGCAGGUGGUAGCUCAGUGGUAGAGCGCAUGCUUUGUGUGUACGACGUCCCGGGGUUCAAAUCCCAGCUGCUCCC
RNAcentral lists this transfer RNA (77 nucleotides) under Dallia pectoralis (Alaska blackfish). Its description in RNAcentral is "tRNA-Thr". The stretch from base 8 to 73 matches the Rfam family "tRNA". Rfam says of the family: Transfer RNA (tRNA) molecules are approximately 80 nucleotides in length. Their secondary structure includes four short double-helical elements and three loops (D, anti-codon, and T loops). Lineage: Eukaryota; Metazoa; Chordata; Actinopteri; Esociformes; Umbridae. The record is from RNAcentral.